This is a long non-coding RNA of Xenia sp. Carnegie-2017, 506 nucleotides long. RefSeq lists it as uncharacterized. NCBI's taxonomy places the organism in Eukaryota, Metazoa, Cnidaria, Anthozoa, Malacalcyonacea, Xeniidae. The record is from RefSeq and is a predicted model, not a curated record. The transcript has 4 exons.
CGUUUUCAAAAAUAUACAGUCUGAAGAGCGUAUUCAAAAACCAAGGACAGAAGGCCAAAACGGAGAAAAAACCUUCGUUUAUGAAAAUACCCGGUUGCGUGUAGACAAGGCCUAAAUCGAUUCAACAAACAACUAAAAAGAUAAUUUGACUCAUACCGAAAAGUUCUUUAUGCAUCUCACAUAGAUGAAUGGUGACGCACUUGGCACAAAAAACGAUUGAGUUAGCUAAAGUAUUCACAAAGAUUAAAGAUAGCUAUUUGAGACUAAGUCAUUGGCAUUGUCAUUGGCACAGAUUCAUAUAGUCAAGCUUGAAAGAAAAAAUUUAGCAAACAGUGCAUCUUUGUAUAAAAAAUGCGCAGACAGAUUUCCUGCUACGAGAAAUGGGUUUCAUUCAGCAGAAGAACUUCUACAACUUCUACAAUUUAUAGCAGCUAAAAAACUAGUUUUAUUCAGAGUUAACACCAAAUUACAAUAAAAUCGCUUUACAUACACACGAGCUUUGCAAA